This 462-nucleotide ribosomal RNA is filed under the name uncultured bacterium. Its description in RNAcentral is "partial 16S ribosomal RNA". It matches the Rfam family "Bacterial small subunit ribosomal RNA", at positions 28 to 507 of the family's 1533-position model. The record is from RNAcentral.
GACGAACGCUGGCGGCGUGCUUAAUACAUGCAAGUCGAGCGGAAAGGCCCUUCGGGGUACUCGCGCGGCGUACGGGCGAGUAAGACGUGAGUAAGUGGCUCCCCACCUUGGGAUAAUCCUCGGAAAUGGGGGCUACUAACGUAUACGACACAGAUAUGCUUGGGGUCUGUGUGGAAAGUUUUGCGGCUUGGGUUGGGUCAGUGGCCUAUGAGUCUGUUGGUGGGGUGCUGGCUUACCAAGGCGACGACGGGUAGCCGGCCUGUGAGGGCGACCGGCCACACUGGGACUGAGACACGGCCCAGACUCCUACGGGAGGCAGCAGUGGGGAAUAUUGCACAAUGGGCGGAAGCCUGAUGCAGCGACGCCGCGUGAGGGAUGACGGCCUUCGGGUUGUAAACCUCUUUCAGCAGGGACGAAGCGUAAGUGACGGUACCUGCAGAAGAAGCGCCGGCCAACUACGUG